CGUAGGGGCAAGCGUUGUCCGGAUUUAUUGGGCGUAAAGCGCGCGCAGGCGGCGCUUUAAGUUGGGGGUUAAAGGCAGUGGCUCAACCAUUGUACGCCUCCAAAACUGGAGCGCUUGAGUGCAGGAGAGGAAAGCGGAAUUCCCGGUGUAGCGGUGGAAUGCGUAGAGAUCGGGAGGAACACCAGUGGCGAAGGCGGCUUUCUGGCCUGUAACUGACGCUGAGGCGCGAAAGCGUGGGGAGCAAACAGGAUU
This 252-nucleotide ribosomal RNA is filed under the name uncultured bacterium. RNAcentral's name for it is "partial 16S ribosomal RNA". It matches the Rfam family "Bacterial small subunit ribosomal RNA", at positions 526 to 779 of the family's 1533-position model. The record is from RNAcentral.